AAUGAACGCUGGCGGCGUGGAUUAGGCAUGCAAGUCGAACGCGAAAGUUCCCUUCGGGGAGCGAGUAGAGUGGCGAAAGGGUGAGUAAUGCUUGGAUGACCUGCCCUCGAGACGGGGACAACAGUUCGAAAGGACUGCUAAUACCCGAUAGUCCGGUUUAGAUGCGUCUAGAUCGGUAAAUGGUGCUUCCGCUCGAGGAGGGGUUCAAGUCCUAUCAGCUUGUUGGUGAGGUAACGGCUCACCAAGGCGAUGACGGGUAGCCGGACUGAGAGGUUGGCCGGCCACAUGGGAACUGAGACACUGUCCUGACUCCUACGGGAGGCAGCAGUGGGGAAUCUUAGACAAUGGGCGCAAGCCUGAUCUAGCCAUGCCGCGUGAGCGAUGAAGGCCUUAGGGUUGUAAAACUCUUUCGUGGGGGAAGAUAAUGACUGUACCCCAAGAAGAAGCCCCGGCUAACUCCGUG
RNAcentral lists this ribosomal RNA (463 nucleotides) under uncultured bacterium. Its description in RNAcentral is "bacterial SSU rRNA". It matches the Rfam family "Bacterial small subunit ribosomal RNA", at positions 29 to 507 of the family's 1533-position model. The record is from RNAcentral.